RNAcentral lists this ribosomal RNA (433 nucleotides) under uncultured bacterium. Its description in RNAcentral is "partial 16S ribosomal RNA". It matches the Rfam family "Bacterial small subunit ribosomal RNA", at positions 29 to 507 of the family's 1533-position model. The record is from RNAcentral.
AACGAACGCUGGCGGCAGGCCUAACACACGCAAGUCGAGCGAGGACUUCGGUUCUAGCGGCGGACGGGUGAGUAACGCGUGGGAAUGUGCCCUUCUCUACGGAAUAGCCCUGGGAAACUGGGAGUAAUACCGUAUACGCCCUAUUGGGGAAAGAUUUAUCGGAGAAGGAUCAGCCCGCGUUGGAUUAGGUAGUUGGUGGGGUAAUGGCCUACCAAGCCGACGAUCCAUAGCUGGUUUGAGAGGAUGAUCAGCCACACUGGGACUGAGACACGGCCCAGACUCCUACGGGAGGCAGCAGUGGGGAAUCUUAGACAAUGGGGGCAACCCUGAUCUAGCCAUGCCGCGUGAGUGAUGAAGGCCUUAGGGUUGUAAAGCUCUUUCAGCUGGGAAGAUAAUGACGGUACCAGCAGAAGAAGCCCCGGCUAACUCCGUG